This 301-nucleotide ribosomal RNA is filed under the name uncultured bacterium. Its description in RNAcentral is "partial 16S ribosomal RNA". It matches the Rfam family "Bacterial small subunit ribosomal RNA", at positions 509 to 809 of the family's 1533-position model. The record is from RNAcentral.
CAGUCGCCGCGGUAAUACGGAGGGUGCAAGCGUUAAUCGGAAUUACUGGGCGUAAAGCGCACGCAGGCGGUCUGACAAGUCAGAUGUGAAAUCCCCGGGCUUAACCUGGGAACUGCAUUUGAAACUGUCAGGCUGGAGUCUUGUAGAGGGGGGUGGAAUUCCAGGUGUAGCGGUGAAAUGCGUAGAGAUCUGGAGGAAUACCGGUGGCGAAGGCGGCCCCCUGGACAAAGACUGACGCUCAGGUGCGAAAGCGUGGGGAGCAAACAGGAUUAGAUACCCCCGUAGUCCUGUCUCUUAUACA